RNAcentral lists this ribosomal RNA (454 nucleotides) under uncultured bacterium. Its description in RNAcentral is "bacterial SSU rRNA". It matches the Rfam family "Bacterial small subunit ribosomal RNA", at positions 28 to 493 of the family's 1533-position model. The record is from RNAcentral.
GACGAACGCUGGCGGCGCGCCUAACACAUGCAAGUCGAACGGAGCUGAGAGGAGCUUGCUUUUCUCAGCUUAGUGGCGAACGGGUGAGUAACGCGUGAGUAACCUGCCCUGGAGUGGGGGACAACAGUUGGAAACGACUGCUAAUACCGCAUAAGCCCACGAUCCGGCAUCGGAUUGAGGGAAAAGGAUUUAUUCGCUUCAGGAUGGACUCGCGUCCAAUUAGCUAGUUGGUGAGGUAACGGCCCACCAAGGCGACGAUUGGUAGCCGGACUGAGAGGUUGAACGGCCACAUUGGGACUGAGACACGGCCCAGACUCCUACGGGAGGCAGCAGUGGGGGAUAUUGCACAAUGGGGGAAACCCUGAUGCAGCGACGCCGCGUGGAGGAAGAAGGUUUUCGGAUUGUAAACUCCUGUCGUUAGGGACGAUAAUGACGGUACCUAACAAGAAAGCAC